CCUACGUGAGGCAGCAGUGGGGAAUAUUGCGCAAUGGGCGAAAGCCUGACGCAGCGCCGCCGCGUGAGGGAUUGAGGUCUUCGGAUCGUAACCCUCUGUCAGCAGGGACGAACGGUCACUGUGCUAAUCAGCCGUGAAUUGACGGUACCUGCAAAGGAAGCACCGGCUCACUCCGUGCCAGCAGCCGCGGUAAUACGGAGGGUGCGAGCGUUAAUCGGAAUUGCUGGGCGUAAAGCGGUCGUAGGCGGUAUGUCAAGUCAAGGGUGACAUCCCCGCGGUCAACGUGGGAACUGCCUUUGAAACUGGCAAACUGGAGUGUGUGAGAGGAUAGUGGAAUUCCAGGUGUAGGAGUGAAAUCCGUAGAUAUCUGGAGGAACAUCAGUGGCGAAGGCGACUAUCUGGCACAUAACUGACGCUGAGGAGCGAAAGCGUGGGUAGCAAACAGGAUUAGAUACCCUUGUAGUC
Molecule: ribosomal RNA, 465 nt
Filed under: uncultured bacterium
Lineage: Bacteria
Description: partial 16S ribosomal RNA
Rfam family: Bacterial small subunit ribosomal RNA
Source: RNAcentral